GAUGAACGCUGGCGGCGUGCUUAACACAUGCAAGUCGAACGAAGCUGCCCAAAGGAAGUUUUCGGAUGGAAUUUAGGUAGACUUAGUGGCGGACGGGUGAGUAACGCGUGGAUAACCUGCCUUAUACAGGGGGAUAACGGAGAGAAAUUUCCGCUAAGACCGCAUAAGACCACAGCACCGCAUGGUGCAGGGGUAAAAUAUUUAUAGGUAUAAGAUGGAUCCGCGUCCGAUUAGCUUGUUGGUGAGGUAGAGGCUCACCAAGGCGACGAUCGGUAGCCGGCCUGAGAGGGUGAACGGCCACAUUGGGACUGAGACACGGCCCAAACUCCUACGGGAGGCAGCAGUGGGGAAUAUUGGACAAUGGGGGGAACCCUGAUCCAGCGACGCCGCGUGAGUGAAGAAGUAUUUCGGUAUGUAAAGCUCUAUCAGCAGGGAAGAAAAUGACGGACCUGACUAAGAAGCCCCG
Molecule: ribosomal RNA, 466 nt
Filed under: Lachnospiraceae bacterium oral taxon 107
Lineage: Bacteria; Bacillati; Bacillota; Clostridia; Lachnospirales; Lachnospiraceae
Description: bacterial SSU rRNA
Rfam family: Bacterial small subunit ribosomal RNA
Source: RNAcentral